GAUGAACGCUGGCGGCGUGCCUAAUACAUGCAAGUCGAGCGAACGGACGAGAAGCUUGCUUCUCUGAUGUUAGCGGCGGACGGGUGAGUAACACGUGGAUAACCUACCUAUAAGACUGGGAUAACUUCGGGAAACCGGAGCUAAUACCGGAUGAUAUUUUGAACCGCAUGGUUCAAAAGUGAAAGACGGUCUUGCUGUCACUUAUAGAUGGAUCCGCGCUGCAUUAGCUAGUUGGUAAGGUAACGGCUUACCAAGGCAACGAUGCAUAGCCGACCUGAGAGGGUGAUCGGCCACACUGGAACUGAGACACGGUCCAGACUCCUAAGGGAGGCAGCAGUAGGGAAUCUUCCGCAAUGGGCGAAAGCCUGACGGAGCAACCCCGCGUGAGUGAUGAAGGUCUUCGGAUCGUAAAACUCUGUUAUUAGGGAAGAACAUAUGUGUAAGUAACUGUGCACAUCUUGACGGUACCUAAUCAGAAAGCCACGGCUAACUACGUG
RNAcentral lists this ribosomal RNA (497 nucleotides) under uncultured bacterium. RNAcentral's name for it is "partial 16S ribosomal RNA". It matches the Rfam family "Bacterial small subunit ribosomal RNA", at positions 28 to 507 of the family's 1533-position model. The record is from RNAcentral.